ACGCACGCUGGCGGCAUGCCUCACACAUGCAAGUCGCACGAGACCUUCGGGUCUAGUGGCGCACGGGUGCGUAACGCGUGGGAAUCUACCCUCAGGUUCGGAAUAACUCAGAGAAAUUUGAGCUAAUACCGGAUGAUGACGUAAGUCCAAAGAUUUAUCGCCUGAGGAUGAGCCCGCGUAGGAUUAGGUAGUUGGUGAGGUAAAGGCUCACCAAGCCGACGAUCCUUAGCUGGUCUGAGAGGAUGAUCAGCCACACUGGGACUGAGACACGGCCCAGACUCCUACGGGAGGCAGCAGUGGGGAAUAUUGGACAAUGGGCGAAAGCCUGAUCCAGCAAUGCCGCGUGAGUGAUGAAGGCCUUAGGGUUGUAAAGCUCUUUUACCCGGGAUGAUAAUGACAGUACCGGGAGAAUAAGCUCCGGCUAACUCCGUG
RNAcentral lists this ribosomal RNA (432 nucleotides) under uncultured bacterium. RNAcentral describes it as "partial 16S ribosomal RNA". It matches the Rfam family "Bacterial small subunit ribosomal RNA", at positions 29 to 507 of the family's 1533-position model. The record is from RNAcentral.